This 506-nucleotide ribosomal RNA is filed under the name uncultured bacterium. RNAcentral describes it as "bacterial SSU rRNA". It matches the Rfam family "Bacterial small subunit ribosomal RNA", at positions 29 to 523 of the family's 1533-position model. The record is from RNAcentral.
AUUGAACGCUGGCGGAAUGCUUUACACAUGCAAGUCGAGGCGGCAGCGCGGGGGCAACCCUGGCGGCGAGCGGCGAACGGGUGAGUAACAUAUCGGAACGUACCCCGUCGUGGGGGAUAACACAGCGAAAGCUGUGCUAAUACCGCAUACGACCUGAGGGUGAAAGCGGGGGAUCGCAAGACCUCGCGCGAUGGGAGCGGCCGAUAUCGGAUUAGCUUGUUGGUGAGGUAAAGGCUCACCAAGGCGACGAUCCGUAGCUGGUCUGAGAGGACGACCAGCCACACUGGAACUGAGACACGGUCCAGACUCCUACGGGAGGCAGCAGUGGGGAAUUUUGGACAAUGGGGGCAACCCUGAUCCAGCCAUUCCGCGUGAGUGAAGAAGGCCUCGGGUUGUAACUAGCUUUGUUACGGUAACGAAACGGUUACGUCUCUAAUACAGGGGCGUAAUGACGGUACGUAACGAAUAAGACACCGGCGUAACUACGUAGCCAGCAGCCGCGGUAA